RNAcentral lists this unclassified non-coding RNA (377 nucleotides) under Bacillus sp. (in: firmicutes). RNAcentral's name for it is "Bacillus sp. (in: Bacteria) contains 16S-23S intergenic spacer region". The record is from RNAcentral. Lineage: Bacteria; Bacillati; Bacillota; Bacilli; Caryophanales; Bacillaceae.
UCCGGUUUGUCACCGGCAGUCUCGCAUGAGUCCCCAACUAAAUGCUGGCAACAUGCGACGGGGGUUGCGCUCGUUGCGGGACUUAACCCAACAUCUCACGACACGAGCUGACGACAACCAUGCACCACCUGUCACUCUGUCCCCCGAAGGGGAACGUCCUAUCUCUAGGAGUGUCAGAGGAUGUCAAGACCUGGUAAGGUUCUUCGCGUUGCUUCGAAUUAAACCACAUGCUCCACCGCUUGUGCGGGCCCCCGUCAAUUCCUUUGAGUUUCAGUCUUGCGACCGUACUCCCCAGGCGGAGUGCUUAAUGUGUUAGCUGCGCCACCGAAGAGCAAGCUCCCCGACGGCUAGCAUUCAUCGUUUACGGCGUGGACUAC